RNAcentral lists this ribosomal RNA (292 nucleotides) under uncultured bacterium. Its description in RNAcentral is "partial 16S ribosomal RNA". It matches the Rfam family "Bacterial small subunit ribosomal RNA", at positions 338 to 644 of the family's 1533-position model. The record is from RNAcentral.
CCUACGGGGGGCAGCAGUGGGGAAUAUUGGGCAAUGGAGGAAACUCUUACCCAGCAAUGCCGCGUGAAUGAAGAAGGUCUUCGGAUUGUAAAGUUCUUUAAUUGGGGACGAAAAAAAUGACGGUACCCAAGGAAUAAGCCCCGGCUAACUACGUGCCAGCAGCCGCGGUAAUACGUAGGGGGCAAGCGUUAUCCGGAUUUACUGGGUGUAAAGGGAGCGUAGACGGCGCGGCAAGUCUGAAGUGAAAGGCAGGGGCUUAACCCCUGAACUGCUUUGGAAACUGCCAUGCUAG